This 448-nucleotide ribosomal RNA is filed under the name uncultured bacterium. RNAcentral describes it as "bacterial SSU rRNA". It matches the Rfam family "Bacterial small subunit ribosomal RNA", at positions 328 to 792 of the family's 1533-position model. The record is from RNAcentral.
UCGCCAGACUCCUACGGGAGGCAGCAGUGGGGAAUAUUGCACAAUGGGGGAAACCCUGAUGCAGCAACGCCGCGUGAGUGAAGAAGGUUUUCGGAUUGUAAAGCUCUGUUAGCAGGGAAGAGGAAGGACGGUACCUGCAGAGGAAGCCACGGCUAACUACGUGCCAGCAGCCGCGGUAAUACGUAGGGAGCAAGCGUUGUCCGGAAUUACUGGGCGUAAAGGGCGCGUAGGUGGGCGCUUAAGUCAGGUGUGAAAACUCCGGGCUCAACCUGGAGACUGCACUUGAAACUGGGUGUCUUGAGGGCAGGAGAGGAAAGUGGAAUUCCUAGUGUAGCGGUGAAAUGCGUAGAUAUUAGGAGGAACACCAGUGGCGAAGGCGACUUUCUGGACUGUACCUGACGCUGAGGCGCGAAAGCGUGGGUAGCGAACGGGAUUAGAUACCCGUGUA